UACGUAGGGUGCAAGCGUUAAUCGGAAUUACUGGGCGUAAAGCGUGCGCAGGCGGUUUUGUAAGUCUGUCGUGAAAUCCCCCGGGCUCAACCUGGGAAUUGCGAUGGAGACUGCAAGGCUAGAAUCUGGCAGAGGGGGGGUAGAAUUCCACGUGUAGCAGUGAAAUGCGUAGAGAUGUGGAGGAACACCGAUGGCGAAGUCAGCCCCCUGGGUCAAGAUUGACGCUCAUGCACGAAAGCGUGGGGAGCAAACAGG
This 255-nucleotide ribosomal RNA is filed under the name uncultured bacterium. RNAcentral's name for it is "partial 16S ribosomal RNA". It matches the Rfam family "Bacterial small subunit ribosomal RNA", at positions 524 to 776 of the family's 1533-position model. The record is from RNAcentral.